RNAcentral lists this ribosomal RNA (327 nucleotides) under uncultured eukaryote. Its description in RNAcentral is "partial 18S ribosomal RNA". It matches the Rfam family "Eukaryotic small subunit ribosomal RNA", at positions 1470 to 1796 of the family's 1831-position model. The record is from RNAcentral.
CCCUUAGAUGUUCUGGGCCGCACGCGCGCUACACUGACGAAUGCAACGAGCUUAUAACCUUGGCCGAAAGGUCUGGGUAAUCUCCAAAUUUCGUCGUGAUGGGGAUAGAUUAUUGCAAUUAUUAAUCUUCAACGAGGAAUGCCUAGUAAGCGCAAGUCAUCAGCUUGCGUUGAUUACGUCCCUGCCCUUUGUACACACCGCCCGUCGCUCCUACCGAUUGAAUGGUCCGGUGAAGCGUUCGGACCGUGGCCUUUGGACGGUUCGCCGUCUGUUGGCUGCGGGAAGUUCGUUAAACCUUAUCAUUUAGAGGAAGGUGAANUCGUANCA